Molecule: transfer RNA, 71 nt
Filed under: Ameiurus melas (black bullhead)
Lineage: Eukaryota; Metazoa; Chordata; Actinopteri; Siluriformes; Ictaluridae
Rfam family: tRNA
About the family: Transfer RNA (tRNA) molecules are approximately 80 nucleotides in length. Their secondary structure includes four short double-helical elements and three loops (D, anti-codon, and T loops). Further hydrogen bonds mediate the characteristic L-shaped molecular structure. tRNAs have two regions of fundamental functional importance: the anti-codon, which is responsible for specific mRNA codon recognition, and the 3' end, to which the tRNAs corresponding amino acid is attached (by aminoacyl-tRNA synthetases). tRNAs cope with the degeneracy of the genetic code in two manners: having more than one tRNA (with a specific anti-codon) for a particular amino acid; and 'wobble' base-pairing, i.e. permitting non-standard base-pairing at the 3rd anti-codon position.
Source: Rfam by way of RNAcentral
GCAUUGGUGGUUCAGUGGUGGAAUUCUAGCUUGCCAUGUUGGAGGCCUGGGUUCGAUUCCCAGCCAAUGCA